ACUCCUACGGGAGGCAGCAGUAGGGAAUCUUCGGCAAUGGACGGAAGUCUGACCGAGCAACGCCGCGUGAGUGAAGAAGGUUUUCGGAUCGUAAAGCUCUGUUGUAAGAGAAGAACGAGUGUGAGAGUGGAAAGUUCACACUGUGACGGUAUCUUACCAGAAAGGGACGGCUAACUACGUGCCAGCAGCCGCGGUAAUACGUAGGUCCCGAGCGUUGUCCGGAUUUAUUGGGCGUAAAGCGAGCGCAGGCGGUUAGAUAAGUCUGAAGUUAAAGGCUGUGGCUUAACCAUAGUACGCUUUGGAAACUAUUUAACUUGAGUGCAAGGGGGGAGAGUGGAAUUCCAUGUGUAGCGGUGAAAUGCGUAGAUAUAUGGAGGAACACCGGUGGCGAAAGCGGCUCUCUGGCUUGUAACUGACGCUGAGGCUCGAAAGCGUGGGGAGCAAACAGG
RNAcentral lists this ribosomal RNA (449 nucleotides) under uncultured Streptococcus sp. RNAcentral describes it as "bacterial SSU rRNA". It matches the Rfam family "Bacterial small subunit ribosomal RNA", at positions 335 to 776 of the family's 1533-position model. The record is from RNAcentral. Lineage: Bacteria; Bacillati; Bacillota; Bacilli; Lactobacillales; Streptococcaceae.